RNAcentral lists this ribosomal RNA (253 nucleotides) under uncultured bacterium. RNAcentral describes it as "partial 16S ribosomal RNA". It matches the Rfam family "Bacterial small subunit ribosomal RNA", at positions 524 to 776 of the family's 1533-position model. The record is from RNAcentral.
UACGGAGGGGGCUAGCGUUGUUCGGAAUUACUGGGCGUAAAGCGCGCGUAGGCGGACCUGCAAGUCGGGGGUGAAAGCCCGAGGCUCAACCUCGGAACUGCCUUCGAUACUGCGGGUCUCGAGUCCGGGAGAGGUGAGUGGAAUUCCUAGUGUAGAGGUGAAAUUCGUAGAUAUUAGGAAGAACACCAGUGGCGAAGGCGGCUCACUGGCCCGGUACUGACGUUGAGGUGCGAAAGCGUGGGGAGCAAACAGG